RNAcentral lists this ribosomal RNA (459 nucleotides) under uncultured bacterium. RNAcentral's name for it is "partial 16S ribosomal RNA". It matches the Rfam family "Bacterial small subunit ribosomal RNA", at positions 338 to 795 of the family's 1533-position model. The record is from RNAcentral.
CCUACGGGAGGCUGCAGUGAGGCAUAUUGGUCAAUGGGAGAGAUCCUGAACCAGCCAAGCCGCGUGAGGGAAGACGGCCCUAUGGGUUGUAAACCUCUUUUGUCGGAGAACAAAACCCGGGACGUGUCCCGGACUGCGUGUAUCCGAAGAAAAAGCAUCGGCUAACUACGUGCCCUCAGCCGCGGUACUACGGAGGAUGCGAGCGUUAUCCGGAUUUAUUGGGUUUAAAGGGUGCGUAGGCGGUCCGUUAAGUCAGCGGUAAAAUGGCGGGGCUAAACCCCGUCGAGCCGUUGAAACUGGCAGACUAGAGUUGGCGAGAGGUACGCGGAAUGCGCGGUGUAGCGGUGAAAUGCAUAGAUAUCGCGCAGAACUCCGAUUGCGAAGGCAGCGUACCGGCGCCAGACUGACGCUGAGGCACGAAAGCGUGGGGAGCGAACAGGAUUAGAUACCCCUGUAGUC